GUGCCAGCAGCCGCGGUAAUACAGAGGGGGCGAGCGUUAUUCGGAAUUAUUGGGCGUAAAGGGCGCGUAGGCGGCUAAGUAAGUCUCGGGUGAAAUCCCUCGGCUCAACCGAGGAACUGCCUUGGAAACUGCUUGGCUUGAGGCCGGGAGAGGAUGGUGGAAUUCCCAGUGUAGCGGUGAAAUGCGUAGAUAUUGGGAGGAACACCGGUGGCGAAGGCGGCCAUCUGGACCGGUCCUGACGCUGAGGCGCGAAAGCGUGGGGAGCAAACAGGAUUAGAUACCCCCGUAGUCC
Molecule: ribosomal RNA, 292 nt
Filed under: uncultured bacterium
Lineage: Bacteria
Description: partial 16S ribosomal RNA
Rfam family: Bacterial small subunit ribosomal RNA
Source: RNAcentral